This 1366-nucleotide ribosomal RNA is filed under the name uncultured bacterium. RNAcentral describes it as "bacterial SSU rRNA". It matches the Rfam family "Bacterial small subunit ribosomal RNA". The record is from RNAcentral.
GAGUUUGAUCCUGGCUCAGGACGAACGCUGGCGGCGCGCCUAACACAUGCAAGUCGAACGAGAGAGAGGGAGCUUGCUUCCUCAAUCGAGUGGCGAACGGGUGAGUAACGCGUGAGGAACCUGCCUCAAAGAGGGGGACAACAGUUGGAAACGACUGCUAAUACCGCAUAAGCCCACAGCUCGGCAUCGAGCAGAGGGAAAAGGAGCAAUCCGCUUUGAGAUGGCCUCGCGUCCGAUUAGCUAGUUGGUGAGGUAACGGCCCACCAAGGCAACGAUCGGUAGCCGGACUGAGAGGUUGAACGGCCACAUUGGGACUGAGACACGGCCCAGACUCCUACGGGAGGCAGCAGUGGGGAAUAUUGCACAAUGGGGGAAACCCUGAUGCAGCGACGCCGCGUGGAGGAAGAAGGUCUUCGGAUUGUAAACUCCUGUUGUUGAGGAAGAUAAUGACGGUACUCAACAAGGAAGUGACGGCUAACUACGUGCCAGCAGCCGCGGUAAAACGUAGGUCACAAGCGUUGUCCGGAAUUACUGGGUGUAAAGGGAGCGCAGGCGGGAAGACAAGUUGGAAGUGAAAUCUAUGGGCUCAACCCAUAAACUGCUUUCAAAACUGUUUUUCUUGAGUAGUGCAGAGUAGCGGAAUUCCCGGUGUAGCGGUGGAAUGCGUAGAUAUCGGGAGGAACACCAGUGGCGAAGGCGGCCUACUGGGCACCAACUGACGCUGAGGCUCGAAAGUGUGGGUAGCAAACAGGAUUAGAUACCCUGGUAGUCCACACCGUAAACGAUGAUUACUAGGUGUUGGAGGAUUGACCCCUUCAGUGCCGCAGUUAACACAAUAAGUAAUCCACCUGGGGAGUACGACCGCAAGGUUGAAACUCAAAGGAAUUGACGGGGGCCCGCACAAGCAGUGGAGUAUGUGGCUUAAUUCGACGCAACGCGAAGAACCUUACCAAGUCUUGACAUCCUGCGACGCACAUAGAAAUAUGUGUUUCCUUCGGGACGCAGAGACAGGUGGUGCAUGGUUGUCGUCAGCUCGUGUCGUGAGAUGUUGGGUUAAGUCCCGCAACGAGCGCAACCCUUACUGUCAGUUACUACGCAAGAGGACUCUGGCAGGACUGCCGUUGACAAAACGGAGGAAGGUGGGGAUGACGUCAAAUCAUCAUGCCCUUUAUGACUUGGGCUACACACGUACUACAAUGGCGUUAAACAAAGAGAAGCAAGACCGCGAGGUGGAGCAAAACUCAGAAACGACGUCCCAGUUCGGACUGCAGGCUGCAACUCGCCUGCACGAAGUCGGAAUUGCUAGUAAUCGUGGAUCAGCAUGCCACGGUGAAUACGUUCCCGGGCCUUGUACACACCGCCCGUC